RNAcentral lists this ribosomal RNA (134 nucleotides) under uncultured Clostridium sp. RNAcentral's name for it is "partial 16S ribosomal RNA". It matches the Rfam family "Bacterial small subunit ribosomal RNA", at positions 379 to 528 of the family's 1533-position model. The record is from RNAcentral. Lineage: Bacteria; Bacillati; Bacillota; Clostridia; Eubacteriales; Clostridiaceae.
GAACCUGAUGCAGCGACGCCGCGUGAGUGAAGAAGUGUUUCGGCACGUAAAGCUCUGUCGGCAGGGAAGAAAAUGACGGGUACCUGACCAAGAAGCCCCGGCUAACAUACGUGCCAGCAGCCGCGGUAAUACAA